AGUAAACGCUGGCGGCAGGCCUAACACAUGCAAGUCGAACGGCAGCACAAGAGAGCUUGCUCUCUGGGUGGCGAGUGGCGGACGGGUGAGGAAUGCAUCGGAAUCUGCCCAUUUGUGGGGGAUAACCUCGGGAAACCGGGACUAAUACCGCAUACGACCUACGGGUGAAAGCAGGGGAUCUUCGGACCUUGCGCAGAUGGAUGAGCCGAUGCCGGAUUAGCUAGUUGGAGGGGUAAAGGCCCACCAAGGCGACGAUCCGUAGCUGGUCUGAGAGGAUGAUCAGCCACACUGGGACUGAGACACGGCCCAGACUCCUACGGGAGGCAGCAGUUGGGAAUAUUGGACAAUGGGCGCAAGCCUGAUCCAGCCAUGCCGCGUGUGUGAAGAAGGCCUUCGGGUUGUAAAGCACUUUUGUUGGGAAAGAAAAGCAGCCGGUUAAUACCCGGUUGUCAUGACGGUACCCAAAGAAUAAGCACCGGCUAACUUCGUG
Molecule: ribosomal RNA, 490 nt
Filed under: uncultured bacterium
Lineage: Bacteria
Description: partial 16S ribosomal RNA
Rfam family: Bacterial small subunit ribosomal RNA
Source: RNAcentral